RNAcentral lists this ribosomal RNA (571 nucleotides) under uncultured bacterium. RNAcentral describes it as "bacterial SSU rRNA". It matches the Rfam family "Bacterial small subunit ribosomal RNA", at positions 1 to 557 of the family's 1533-position model. The record is from RNAcentral.
UUAGAGUUUGAUCCUGGCUCAGGAUGAUCGCUAGCGACAGGCUUAACACAUGCAAGUCGAGGGGCAGCGGGGAUGAAGCUUGCUUCAUCCGCCGGCGACCGGCGCACGGGUGAGUAACACGUAUGCAACCUGCCCCUGGCUGGGGGAUAAGCCGGAGAAAUCCGGUCUAAUACCGCGUAACAUCCUUGCGGGACAUCCCGUUAGGAUCAAAGGAAGCGAUUCCGGCCAGGGAUGGGCAUGCGGCGCAUUAACUAGUCGGCGGGGUAACGGCCCACCGAGGCGACCAUGCGUAGGGGUUCUGAGAGGAAGGCCCCCCACACUGGUACUGAGACACAGACCAGACUCCUACGGGAGGCAGCAGUGACGAAUAAUUUGUUCAAUGGGCGCGAGCCUGAUCCACGCCAAGUCGCGUGAGGGAACACGGUCCUAUGGAUUGUAAACCUCUUUUGCCGGGGAGCCAGCGUGUGCCACGUGUGGCGCAGCUGAUACUACCCGGAGAAAAAGCAUCGGCUAACUCCGUGCCAUCCGCCGCGGUAAUACGGAGGAUGCGAGCGUUAUCCGGAUUUAUUGG